AUCCAGAUGACGAGUCCCAAAUAAGACGAAGCGCACGUCCUGGAU
Molecule: non-coding RNA, 45 nt
Organism: Schistosoma rodhaini
Lineage: Eukaryota; Metazoa; Platyhelminthes; Trematoda; Strigeidida; Schistosomatidae
Source: Rfam